UGAGAUUGAACUCGGAAAGGGGCCUCUGUGAUUUUUUAGUAAAUGAGGAGCCAUGGUCUUGAAGUUGCAAUUUCAGGAACAUCGAAUGAUAAGGACAUGCCAGUACUGUUCACGCCAUACUCGACUUCUGAAAUUUGAUGAAGGCUCAACAAGAUAUUCAUGCAGCCCAUAUUAACUCAAAAGGCAUUGAGAAUGGUAUCAGUCGUCGAGUUAAUGGGCCACUUCAGUGGGAAAACGUUGGGCUUCUGAUCCCCUACUCCUUUGCAAAUCUGCCUCCAACAAUGCGUGUGCAAAAAUCCACUCAAACUUCAUGGAAGGUUGAUAGAAGAUGCCCUUAGAAACUGACUAUGGCAAACAGAAUUGCGAGGCAGCAAUACCAGAUGCUUGGAUACGGCGAAUCAAAGAUCAGCUCAUCAAGGCUUAUUUAUUUCUCCCUGCCAAAAGAAACAAUACCCACAUAUAUAGAAAGUUUGGCAAGAACUUGGGGAUAUAAGCAAAGAUCCUAAACAGCCAAUGAAUUUGAACCUAAUGGAGAAGCACAGUUUUAUAUUGGUGAAAAUUGUUGAGCAAGGAUGCACUUUAUAUAGCCACGUCUUACAUUCUGGUGCAAGAUAUAUUUGGUAAGCCUCAUUGGCUGCAAAGCUCGAUCAGUUAGAAUAACAAAGCUCCCUUCCUCUUUACCC
Quercus lobata is the source of this 683-nucleotide long non-coding RNA. RefSeq lists it as uncharacterized. The transcript is spliced from 5 exons. Lineage: Eukaryota; Viridiplantae; Streptophyta; Magnoliopsida; Fagales; Fagaceae. The record is from RefSeq and is a predicted model, not a curated record.